UGGGGAAUUUUGGACAAUGGGCGAAAGCCUGAUCCAGCAAUGCCGCGUGUGUGAAGAAGGCCUUCGGGUUGUAAAGCACUUUUGUCCGGAAAGAAAUGGCUCUGGUUAAUACCUGGGGUCGAUGACGGUACCGGAAGAAUAAGGACCGGCUAACUACGUGCCAGCAGCCGCGGUAAUACGUAGGGUCCAAGCGUUAAUCGGAAUUACUGGGCGUAAAGCGUGCGCAGGCGGUUGUGCAAGACCGAUGUGAAAUCCCCGAGCUUAACUUGGGAAUUGCAUUGGUGACUGCACGGCUAGAGUGUGUCAGAGGGGGGUAGAAUUCCACGUGUAGCAGUGAAAUGCGUAGGGAUGUGGAGGAAUACCGAUGGCGAAGGCAGCCCCCUGGGAUAACACUGACGCUCAUGCACAAAAGCGUGGGGAGCAAACAGG
RNAcentral lists this ribosomal RNA (429 nucleotides) under Bacillota bacterium. Its description in RNAcentral is "Firmicutes bacterium partial 16S ribosomal RNA". It matches the Rfam family "Bacterial small subunit ribosomal RNA", at positions 355 to 776 of the family's 1533-position model. The record is from RNAcentral. Lineage: Bacteria; Bacillati; Bacillota.